GAUGAACGCUGGCGGCGUGCCUAAUACAUGCAAGUCGAGCGAACGGACGAGAAGCUUGCUUCUCUGAUGUUAGCGGCGGACGGGUGAGUAACACGUGGAUAACCUACCUAUAAGACUGGGAUAACUUCGGGAAACCGUAGCUAAUACCGGAUAAUAUUUUGAACCGCAUGGUUCAAAAGUGAAAGACGGUCUUGCUGUCACUUAUAGAUGGAUCCGCGCUGCAUUAGCUAGUUGGUAAGGUAACGGCUUACCAAGGCAACGAUGCAUAGCCGACCUGGGAGGGCGGGUGGCCCGACUGGAACGGAGACACGGUCCAGACGCCUACGGGAGGCAGCAGGAGGGAAUCGUGCGGCAUGGGCGGAAGCCUGACGGAGAAACGCCGCGUGAGUGAUGAAGGUCUUCGGAUCGGAAAACUCUGUUAUUAGGGAAGAACAUAUGUGUAAGUAACUGUGCACAUCUUGACGGUACCUAAUCAGAAAGCCACGGCUAACUACGUG
Molecule: ribosomal RNA, 497 nt
Filed under: uncultured bacterium
Lineage: Bacteria
Description: partial 16S ribosomal RNA
Rfam family: Bacterial small subunit ribosomal RNA
Source: RNAcentral